This 254-nucleotide ribosomal RNA is filed under the name uncultured bacterium. RNAcentral describes it as "partial 16S ribosomal RNA". It matches the Rfam family "Bacterial small subunit ribosomal RNA", at positions 524 to 776 of the family's 1533-position model. The record is from RNAcentral.
GACGUAGGGUCCAAGCGUUGUCCGGAUUUACUGGGCGUAAAGAGCGCGUAGGCGGUCUGGUUAGUGUGAAGUGAAAUCUCCAGGGCUCAACCCGGAAACUGCUUUGCAUACUGCCAGACUAGAGGAAUGCAGAGGUAUGUGGAAUUCCUGGUGUAGCGGUGAAAUGCGUUGAUAUCAGGAGGAACACCCAUGGCGAAGGCAGCAUACUGGGCAUUAUCUGACGCUGAGGCGCGAAAGCGUGGGUAGCAAACAGG